UACGUAGGGUGCAAGCGUUGUCCGGAUUUAUUGGGCGUAAAGAGCUCGUAGGCGGUUUGUCGCGUCGACUGUGAAAGCCCGGGGCUCAACUCCGGGUCUGCAGUCGAUACGGGCAGACUAGAGUUCGGUAGGGGAGACUGGAAUUCCUGGUGUAGCGGUGAAAUGCGCAGAUAUCAGGAGGAACACCGGUGGCGAAGGCGGGUCUCUGGGACGGUACUGACGCUGAGACGCGAAAGCGUGGGGAGCGAACAGG
Molecule: ribosomal RNA, 253 nt
Filed under: uncultured bacterium
Lineage: Bacteria
Description: partial 16S ribosomal RNA
Rfam family: Bacterial small subunit ribosomal RNA
Source: RNAcentral